CAACCUCAGAAGAAGCCUAUACUGGGGUUCCGCAGGAGCUUUGGUACGAGACUGAAGAUACCAAGCAGAUCUGUUGAUAGAAUUGACAGUGCUAAGCGUUUAAUUUUCUUGCUGCCAGAGGUUCAUUGGCUUUGGAAAACAUGAAGAUUUGGCAAACUGAUGUUGUUGUUGAAGAAGUAACGAAGUGAAGUGUUGAAAGUCUGUAGGGAACACCUAGUGGGUUCGGGUAUCGUCCAAGCACCUCCUGAAGAACGGAAAUUGAUUGUACUAGUAUUGUCGCUUUGAAGAACUACCCUCGCUUGUUGACAGUCUUCCUGGCAUCAACCUAUGUAUGUAGAAAAUAAUCAAUUUCGUCAACUUUCUACAAUGCACAAUGGCAUAGUCUCAAGUCUCAAUGCCGUCUAUUUAUAUGCAAGAAAGCAAGGAAAACUCUUUGGAAGAGUUCACUGGAG
Halichondria panicea is the source of this 452-nucleotide long non-coding RNA. RefSeq lists it as uncharacterized. The record is from RefSeq and is a predicted model, not a curated record. NCBI's taxonomy places the organism in Eukaryota, Metazoa, Porifera, Demospongiae, Suberitida, Halichondriidae. The transcript is spliced from 4 exons.